RNAcentral lists this transfer RNA (77 nucleotides) under Deltaproteobacteria bacterium. RNAcentral describes it as "tRNA-Arg". It matches the Rfam family "tRNA". Rfam says of the family: Transfer RNA (tRNA) molecules are approximately 80 nucleotides in length. Their secondary structure includes four short double-helical elements and three loops (D, anti-codon, and T loops). Lineage: Bacteria; Pseudomonadati; Myxococcota; Myxococcia. The record is from RNAcentral.
GGUCCCAUAGCUCAGUCGGAUAGAGCAACGGUUUCCUAAACCGUAGGUCGCAGGUUCGAGCCCUGCUGGGAUCACCG